AUGCCAGAAUCUGUGCAGAUGCCAGAAAACUGUCCGUAUCAGUUUUUUGAGGUGGCAGAAAAAGCUGGAGAGGUACCACCGUUUCGAGGGAAUAAGGUCAGAAUUUACCGGCAGAACCCUUCGCUCUGCGAAGAAAUACGGCGGGACUGUAGGACUCUGGGGCCCGGCUUUCGAAAAGGAGGGAAGGCUCCAGAAACAGAGCAGAUGGCAUAUGGACAUGGUUCAAAGCAGCAGAGAUUACAGUUUAUAAGAAGGGACCAGGACCUGCUCUCCUUGAGGCAGGAAGAAGAAAUCACUGGGAUAAAAUAUGAGUCUUUGUAGUUGCAAGUCUUAUCCUUUGGGAUUGUACAAGCAAAAUUCACUGUGGAGGCAAGGUAUGUCAAAGAUUGAAGUGAGGAGUGACCUCUUUCUUGACACCAC
RNAcentral lists this long non-coding RNA (420 nucleotides) under Capra hircus (goat). RNAcentral's name for it is "lncRNA (ENSCHIG00000002707.1)". Lineage: Eukaryota; Metazoa; Chordata; Mammalia; Artiodactyla; Bovidae. The record is from RNAcentral.